GAUAGGCUUCGUCCGAACAGUCGUUCAGCAAGGGAACCCGGUGUGACUCCGGGACUGGCGCGCAACGGUGACGAGUUCCGGCUCGAAGUCCGAUCGCUUGCUGUCCGGCACCACCCUCG
RNAcentral lists this non-coding RNA (119 nucleotides) under Rhodococcus sp. (in: high G+C Gram-positive bacteria). Lineage: Bacteria; Bacillati; Actinomycetota; Actinomycetes; Mycobacteriales; Nocardiaceae. The record is from RNAcentral.